This 253-nucleotide ribosomal RNA is filed under the name uncultured bacterium. Its description in RNAcentral is "partial 16S ribosomal RNA". It matches the Rfam family "Bacterial small subunit ribosomal RNA", at positions 524 to 776 of the family's 1533-position model. The record is from RNAcentral.
UACGGAGGGUGCGAGCGUUAAUCGGAAUCACUGGGCGUAAAGCGCGCGUAGGCGGCUUUUCAAGUCAGGGGUGAAAUCCCACGGCCCAACCGUGGAACUGCCUUUGAAACUGUAGAGCUUGAGUGUCGGAGAGGGUGGCGGAAUUCCAGGUGUAGGAGUGAAAUCCGUAGAUAUCUGGAGGAACACCGGUGGCGAAGGCGGCCACCUGGACGACAACUGACGCUGAGGUGCGAAAGUGUGGGUAGCAAACAGG